AAUCUCUUUCAAUUCAUGCCGAGAUUUCGUUAGAUACCAACCCAUUAGGGCUGAUCAGACUUCCAAGAUGAGUGAAGUU
Molecule: microRNA precursor, 79 nt
Organism: Schistosoma mansoni
Lineage: Eukaryota; Metazoa; Platyhelminthes; Trematoda; Strigeidida; Schistosomatidae
Rfam family: mir-3492 microRNA precursor family
Source: Rfam